GUGCUCACUUCAGCAGCACAUAUACUAAAAUUGGAAGAAUACAGAGAAGAUUAGCAUGGCCCCUGAACAAGGAUAACAUGCAUAUUUGUGACUCGAUCCAUAAUUUU
Molecule: small nuclear RNA, 107 nt
Filed under: Sciurus vulgaris (Eurasian red squirrel)
Lineage: Eukaryota; Metazoa; Chordata; Mammalia; Rodentia; Sciuridae
Source: RNAcentral